This is a non-coding RNA of Phascolarctos cinereus (koala), 1061 nucleotides long. Lineage: Eukaryota; Metazoa; Chordata; Mammalia; Diprotodontia; Phascolarctidae. The record is from RefSeq and is a predicted model, not a curated record.
CACACACACACACAUUUUAUUUAGUAUGAAUUUAACUUUUUAAGAGUUUGGUUAGUUAAUAUCUCGAUCAUUAUAUAUAAAGCCCCAUUUUUUUUCCCUCCUUCUAGUUAUAUGCUUCUAAUCUCCAUGGUAUUUUCUAUUUCCAGGUGACAACAGUUUCUGGCAAAGACUGAAGUUAAAACAAACAAAAAGGCUCCUUCUGUUACAAAGAUUGAAAAAGAAGUAAAAAGCAGUUCAGCAAAAGCAACCAGCAUAUCAACCAUGCCUGACAACAUAUGCCACAGUCUACACCCCAAUUCCCCCAGUUCUGCAAAGGAGAAGUGCUUCUUCUCAACUCUUCUUCAUGGCCAAACCUGAUCAUUAUAAUUAGCAUUCAGUUGUUUGUUUUUUUGGUGGGGGUAUCAUUCCAUUUACAAUACUGUAGAAACUGAGCAUACUGUCUUCCUUGUUCUUCUUACUUUACUCUGUAUCAUCUCAGCUAAAUCUUCUCAUUCUUUUAUGAAUUUUUAAUAUUCAUCAUUUCAUACAGUAAGAUUCCACUACAUUCAUGUACUUCAAUUUUAGCCAUUUACCUACUGAUGGACAGAGACUUUGCUUACAAUUCUGUUACCAUAGAAAGUGUUAAGCAUUUAUUGAUAUGCUAGAUGUAGAAUUAGAAAAGCCUAAAUGGCUUCUAAAGACUAACUAUCCAACCUUCCACUUAAUGCAGGAAUCCCCUUUAGAAAAUUCAUCAGUGGCCAACUAGUCUCUGAAUAAUUUGUGUUGCGGAGAUUACUACUUAUGAAAGGCAACCCAUCCUAUUACUUAACAGAACUGCUAAAUUUUUAGAAAAUACUUUCAAAAACAUCUCUCUGAUCUACUCCAGGGCAAAAGCAUCACUUAUGCCUGAUGAUACAAUGACUACAAUAUUAUUUCAACCCAAAACUUAUUUUAUACCAAAACUCUUGGAAUAACGGCUUUUUGAUAUUUUUUUCCUUUGUGACAAAGUGACUUGAACAGUGCCUUGUUAUGUAUUUUUUUAAAAGUGACUAAUUAUAAAAUCCUCAAACAUUUAAAAUAUU